GGGCUUGUGGUUUAGUGGUAUAAUACAUCCUUAGCAGCAUUAGUCUGUCGGUUCUCGGAACCUUCAAACCAACGUCUGGAUGGGGUCCUGGGUUCGAUUCCCAGCAAGUCCA
Non-coding RNA from Polychaeton citri CBS 116435, 112 nucleotides. The record is from the annotation of a GenBank genome assembly. Lineage: Eukaryota; Fungi; Ascomycota; Dothideomycetes; Capnodiales; Capnodiaceae.